AAAGCGUGCGCAGGCGGUUUUGUAAGACUGUCGUGAAAUCCCCGGGCUCAACCUGGGAAUGGCGAUGGUGACUGCAAGGCUAGAGUUUGGCAGGAGGGGGGUAGAAUUCCACGUGUAGCAGUGAAAUGCGUAGAUAUGUGGAGGACACCGAUGGCGAAGGCAGCCCCCUGGGUCAAAACUGACGCUCAUGCACGAAAGCGUGGGGAGCAAACAGGAUUAGAUACCCUGGU
RNAcentral lists this ribosomal RNA (230 nucleotides) under uncultured bacterium. RNAcentral describes it as "partial 16S ribosomal RNA". It matches the Rfam family "Bacterial small subunit ribosomal RNA", at positions 562 to 791 of the family's 1533-position model. The record is from RNAcentral.